GGGCGGUUAGCUCAGUCGGCUAGAGCGCUACCCCGACACGGUAGAGGUCGCCAGUUCGAGCCUGGCAUCGCCCA
This 74-nucleotide transfer RNA is filed under the name Planctomycetota bacterium. RNAcentral's name for it is "Planctomycetes bacterium tRNA-Val". Lineage: Bacteria; Pseudomonadati; Planctomycetota. The record is from RNAcentral.